GGUUCUGGUUCAGUGGUAGAGCACUCGCCUAGCAUGUGUGAGGCCCUGGGUUCCAUCCUCAGCACCA
Molecule: transfer RNA, 67 nt
Filed under: Marmota monax (woodchuck)
Lineage: Eukaryota; Metazoa; Chordata; Mammalia; Rodentia; Sciuridae
Description: tRNA.Ala
Source: RNAcentral